UUGCGGUUAAAAAGCUCGUAGUUGGAUUUCUGUCAGUGAGUGAUGCUCCGCCCCUCGUGGUGAGUAGUCAUCAUGCCGCUGGCAUCUUCUUGGGGAGUGUAUCUGCACUUCACUGUGUGGUGCACAAGCCAGGACAUUUACUUUGAGGAAAUGAGAGUGUUUCAAGCAGGCGUGCGCCGUGAAUACGCUAGCAUGGAAUAAUAGCAUCGGACCUCGCUCCAAAGCUGUUGGUUUCUUGGGUCGAGGUAAAGGUGAAUAGGGAUUGUUGGGGGCAUUCGUAUUUAACUGUCAGAGGUGAAAUUCUUGGAUUUGUUGAAGACGGACUACUGCGAAAGCAUCUGCCAAAGAUGUUCUCAUUGAUCAAGAACGAAAGUUAGGUGAUCGAAGACGAUCAGAUACCGUCCUAGUCUUAACCAUAAACUAUGCCGACUGGAGAUAGGGGGUCGUUAAAUCUAUGACGCCUUCUGCAUCUUGAGAGAAAUCAAAGUCUUUGGGUUCCGGGGGGAGUAUGGUCGCAAGGCUGAAACUUAAAGGAAUUGACGGAAGGGCACCACCAGGAGUGGAGCCUGCGGCUUAAUUUGACUCAACACGGGGAAAACUUACCAGGUCCAGACAUAGUGAGGAUUGACAGACUGAUAGCUCUUUCGAGAU
This 651-nucleotide ribosomal RNA is filed under the name uncultured marine eukaryote. RNAcentral's name for it is "SSU rRNA". It matches the Rfam family "Eukaryotic small subunit ribosomal RNA", at positions 613 to 1266 of the family's 1831-position model. The record is from RNAcentral.